Molecule: long non-coding RNA, 1071 nt
Organism: Manacus vitellinus (golden-collared manakin)
Lineage: Eukaryota; Metazoa; Chordata; Aves; Passeriformes; Pipridae
Exons: 2
Source: RefSeq, a predicted model, not a curated record
GAAAUUCCCAAUGUAUUUUAUAACCAAGUUAUUUCUGAUACUUACAGGUGGUCUGGUCUUAUCAAAAGCUCCCAUUGCGAUUUUAAAGCCAGCUCCCUCAGCUAUCAACACAUUUUCUUUUGGGACUCUCACAUCUUCGAAGACAAUACCUCUUGUAUCUGAGCAGCGCUGACCCAUAUUCAUUUCCUGAAGUGGAAAUUUACAGAGGUGUUACUAAAGUGGAUUAUUCAAAGGACUAUCUGCUUCCACAAUGAAUCCAGUAAAGGCUUUGCCUGCAGGAGUUUUUGGAUCUGGAUCGGUACGUGCUAGCAAAAAAUACCUAGUGUAAACCAAAGAAGAUGGAUGCAGUUUAUCCUCACAGUUAACAACAAGAUAUAUUUAGGUAAUAUUUUAAAUGUUUUUAUGCAUGUCUAUACCACAUAAUAAAUUCUGAGUGUAAGUUAACAAACUAUAUUCCUUGCCCAUUCUAAAAAUAAACUGAGAGGGAGCCAGAGAGUGGAAGUCUCAAAGAUUCAGUAUUUAAUAAUGUUUAAUAAAAUUUCUUCAGAUCAACAUGCAAAGAUUCUCUACCCUUUCCAUGUAUUCUAAGUCUUUAUGGUAUUACCAGUUUCACAAAUAGUACAAAAGAAACCUAUUCGCAGCAUGUACAUAAAAAUUAAUGCUUAGGAAAUACAUUCUUGGAUGUAAAAUGUUAUCAUCUGAUUUCAGAUAUCUUGAUUUUAUUCUUCUAAGUGUAAAUUGUAAAUAAGUAUUUAUCUUAGAAAUUAAACAGCUGUAAAUCAUAUUUAUGGUAUUCACUAAUGUCAAAAGAUACCUGGUAGAUUGUCUUUGAUGGAUCUGCCUUCAACGAUGAAGUAAAUUACUAGAAAAUUCAGAUUUUUGGAUAAAUGUAUAAAGUUUUUUCCGCUUGAAUUAAGGAAGAUUUCUGUGUUGUGAAUCAGUGUGAUAUGAGACAUGAAGUAAGAGGUUUAUAUUGUAAAAGCAUGCUCCACAAACACAACAAUAUUUGGAAUCUCUGACAGAUGAAAAAUGUCUUCUUUUCAUAAAAUAAAAAGUAACACCACAAUGUAA